GUCAUCUCGGGUCACACCUGGAGAGUUCCCAGUACUCUACCAGUCUCAACUAUGGGAGGGAAAGUCAAGCAGAGGCAUACCCAUUCCAUUCCUAGCUUGAGCAGUGGCUAGCGAGUGGAAGGCAAUCUGCUACAAGU
This is a non-coding RNA of Ornithorhynchus anatinus (platypus), 137 nucleotides long. Lineage: Eukaryota; Metazoa; Chordata; Mammalia; Monotremata; Ornithorhynchidae. The record is from Rfam.